Misgurnus anguillicaudatus (oriental weatherfish) is the source of this 695-nucleotide non-coding RNA. NCBI's taxonomy places the organism in Eukaryota, Metazoa, Chordata, Actinopteri, Cypriniformes, Cobitidae. The record is from RefSeq and is a predicted model, not a curated record.
UUUUUUAUAAUCAAUAGAUUUUGUGAUAAUGUUUUAAUCUCUCAGUGUCAGAUGAGUCUCAGUGUUGUGUGAUAUUUCAGUGUCUGUAUUGUUUUCUCUCUUUGUUAAAGUCUGAUGUUCACUGGAGUGUAAAAGAGGUUUUUGUACGAGCGUUUCAUUAAAAUGAAGCACUGUGGUACACAUUCGGUGGAGGAACCAAACUGGUGAUCAGAACUGGACCCACAGUGAAGCCCUCAGUGUCUCUGCUGUCACCUGCUGCUCUUCAGAUCUCUGGAGACUCAGCAGCAUUGCUCUGUAUGCUCAACUCUUACUCUCCACAGGGGGCGCUGGUGAGCUGGACACUGGAUGGGUCAGAGGUCACUGACGGGAUUCAGACCAGUGCCGAGAGCGAGCAGGACGGCCGAUACAGCCGUAAAAGUGUCCUGACCCUCAGUAAAGCACUCUGGGAAGAGGCGGAGGUGUUCGUCUGCAGAGUGACACAUGAUGAAACUCUUCACGAGGUCUCCAUGCGUAAGAGUCGCUGUUAGGAGAUCUGAGUGUUGAUGUUUGUCCAGCUGAAGAUCUCUCAUAUAUCUGAUGAUCUGUGUCAGACUCAUGUCAGUCUACUCAUACACAUCUGAUCAUUUACACUUUUAUAACUCUCACAACAUCUCUUGUGUUUGCUGUUACAUUCAAUAAAGAUUUUGAAGACGUUA